UACGGAGGGUGCAAGCGUUAUCCGGAUUCACUGGGCUUAAAGGGUGCGUAGGCGGGCAGGUAAGUCCGUGGUGAAAUCUCUGAGCUUAACUCAGAAACUGCCAUGGAUACUAUUUGUCUUGAAUAUUGUGGAGGUAAGCGGAAUAUGUCAUGUAGCGGUGAAAUGCUUAGAUAUGACAUAGAACACCAAUUGCGAAGGCAGCUUACUAGACAGUUAUUGACGCUGAGGCACGAAAGCGUGGGGAUCAAACAGG
This 253-nucleotide ribosomal RNA is filed under the name uncultured bacterium. RNAcentral's name for it is "partial 16S ribosomal RNA". It matches the Rfam family "Bacterial small subunit ribosomal RNA", at positions 524 to 776 of the family's 1533-position model. The record is from RNAcentral.